Molecule: ribosomal RNA, 459 nt
Filed under: uncultured bacterium
Lineage: Bacteria
Description: partial 16S ribosomal RNA
Rfam family: Bacterial small subunit ribosomal RNA
Source: RNAcentral
CCUACGGGAGGCAGCAGUGAGGAAUAUUGGUCAAUGGGCGCGAGCCUGAACCAGCCAAGUCGCGUGAGGGAAGACGGUCCUAUGGAUUGUAAACCUCUUUUGUAGGGGAGCAAAAGACGCCACGCGUGGCGUUCCGUGAGUACUCUAAGAAAAAGCAUCGGCUAACUCCGUGCCAGCAGCCGCGGUAAUACGGAGGAUGCGAGCGUUAUCCGGAUUUAUUGGGUUUAAAGGGUGCGCAGGCGGAAGAUUAAGUCAGCGGUAAAAUUGAGAGGCUCAACCUCUUCGUGCAGUUGAAACUGGUUUUCUUGAGUGAGUGAGAGGUAGGCGGAAUGCGUGGUGUAGCGGUGAAAUGCAUAGAUAUCACGCAGAACUCCGAUUGCGAAGGCAGCAUACCGGCGCUCAACUGACGCUCAUGCACGAAAGUGUGGGUAUCGAACAGGAUUAGAUACCCUUGUAGUC